RNAcentral lists this ribosomal RNA (465 nucleotides) under Vreelandella stevensii. RNAcentral's name for it is "partial 16S ribosomal RNA". It matches the Rfam family "Bacterial small subunit ribosomal RNA", at positions 338 to 795 of the family's 1533-position model. Lineage: Bacteria; Pseudomonadati; Pseudomonadota; Gammaproteobacteria; Oceanospirillales; Halomonadaceae. The record is from RNAcentral.
CCUACGGGUGGCAGCAGUGGGGAAUAUUGGACAAUGGGCGAAAGCCUGAUCCAGCCAUGCCGCGUGUGUGAAGAAGGCCUUCGGGUUGUAAAGCACUUUCAGUGGGGAAGAAAGCCUUGGGGCUAAUACCCUCGAGGAAGGACAUCACCCACAGAAGAAGCACCGGCUAACUCCGUGCCAGCAGCCGCGGUAAUACGGAGGGUGCGAGCGUUAAUCGGAAUUACUGGGCGUAAAGCGCGCGUAGGCGGUCUGAUAAGCCGGUUGUGAAAGCCCCGGGCUCAACCUGGGAACGGCAUCCGGAACUGUCAGGCUAGAGUGCAGGAGAGGAAGGUAGAAUCCCCGGUGUAGCAGUGAAAUGCGUAGAGAUCGGGAGGAAUACCAGUGGCGAAGGCGGCCUUCUGGACUGACACUGACGCUGAGGUGCGAAAGCGUGGGUAGCAAACAGGAUUAGAUACCCCAGUAGUC